Long non-coding RNA from Hydra vulgaris (swiftwater hydra), 519 nucleotides. RefSeq lists it as uncharacterized. The record is from RefSeq and is a predicted model, not a curated record. Lineage: Eukaryota; Metazoa; Cnidaria; Hydrozoa; Anthoathecata; Hydridae.
UUCCUGCUAAUCCUAGUAAGUUCCUACUAAGUACUUAUCAAGAUUAAACGAAUUACUUAGUAAGUUCCUAGUAAGUUUUCAAAAAUAAAACAAGUAUAAAAAAUCGUCUUUGUUAUACGCCAUCUUUUAUUUAUUCACACGGAAGACAAGUCAGACAUAAAACAGCUUUUUUAGAUUCAAUAGUUUUACUAAUUAAUAUUUGUAAUUCUAUAAGGAAAAAGCUCAAGAACAUCUGGGGAUGAUUGGCGUGGUUUGCAGUUUAUUUGAUGAAUAUUUGUUAAUGUGUUAUAAUGUGGUUUAAAUGUUAAUUUUAACUCUAUAUAAAUUCGAGCAUUUUCUGUUGUAUCAAUUCGAGCAUUUUCUGAUUCAUAGUGAUAUCUACAGUUAUGGUCGUAAAAGAUUAAGAAAAAUCUUAUGGGUGCAAUUAUUCCACUGACACCUGCGAAAUUACCAAAAGAACUGACCAUCGCUGUUUAUUUUAUUUUUUUAAAUGUUCUAGUUAAACAAUCUAACACUUAA